AGAAUCAACGCUGGCGGCGUGCCUAACACAUGCAAGUCGAACGAGAAAGUGGAGCAAUCCAUGAGUAAAGUGGCGACCGGGUGAGUAACACGCGACUAACCUACCUUCGAGUGGGGGAUAACCUCGGGAAACCGAGGCUAAUACCGCAUAACAUCGCAAGAUCAAAGCAGCAAUGCGCUGGAGGAGGGGGUCGCGGCUGAUUAGCUAGUUGGCGGGUAACGGCCCACCAAGGCGAAGAUCGGUA
RNAcentral lists this ribosomal RNA (244 nucleotides) under uncultured bacterium. RNAcentral's name for it is "partial small subunit ribosomal RNA". It matches the Rfam family "Bacterial small subunit ribosomal RNA", at positions 26 to 285 of the family's 1533-position model. The record is from RNAcentral.